Molecule: ribosomal RNA, 301 nt
Filed under: uncultured bacterium
Lineage: Bacteria
Description: bacterial SSU rRNA
Rfam family: Bacterial small subunit ribosomal RNA
Source: RNAcentral
UGAUUCCUACGGGAGGCAGCAGUGAGGAAUAUUGGUCAAUGGACGGAAGUCUGAACCAGCCAUGCCGCGUGCAGGAAGACGGCCCUAUGAGUUUUAAACUGCUUUUGUACAAGGGUAAACCUGAAUACGUGUAUUCAGCUGAAAGUACUGUACGAAUAAGGAUCGGCUAACUCCGUGCCAGCAGCCGCGGUAAUACGGAGGAUCCAAGCGUUAUCCGGAUUUAUUGGGUUUAAAGGGUGCGUAGGCGGAUUGAUAAGUUAGAGGUGAAAUGUCCGAGCUUAACUCGGGACCUGCCUUUAAU